This 484-nucleotide ribosomal RNA is filed under the name uncultured bacterium. RNAcentral describes it as "partial 16S ribosomal RNA". It matches the Rfam family "Bacterial small subunit ribosomal RNA", at positions 30 to 507 of the family's 1533-position model. The record is from RNAcentral.
AUUGAACGCUGGCGGCAGGCCUAACACAUGCGAGUCGAGCGGAUGAAGGGAGCUUGCUCCUGGAUUCAGCGGCGGACGGGUGAGUAAUGCCUAGGAAUCUGCCUGGUAGUGGGGGAUAACGUCCGGAAACGGGCGCUAAUACCGCAUACGUCCUGAGGGAGAAAGUGGGGGAUCUUCGGACCUCACGCUAUCAGAUGAGCCUAGGUCGGAUUAGCUAGUUGGUGGGGUAAAGGCCUACCAAGGCGACGAUCCGUAACUGGUCUGAGAGGAUGAUCAGUCACACUGGAACUGAGACACGGUCCAGACUCCUACGGGAGGCAGCAGUGGGGAAUAUUGGACAAUGGGCGAAAGCCUGAUCCAGCCAUGCCGCGUGUGUGAAGAAGGUCUUCGGAUUGUAAAGCACUUUAAGUUGGGAGGAAGGGCAGUAAGUUAAUACCUUGCUGUUUUGACGUUACCAACAGAAUAAGCACUGGCUAACUUCGUG